This 491-nucleotide long non-coding RNA is filed under the name Ananas comosus (pineapple). RNAcentral's name for it is "long non-coding RNA (ACOM_LNC039939)". The record is from RNAcentral. Lineage: Eukaryota; Viridiplantae; Streptophyta; Magnoliopsida; Poales; Bromeliaceae.
UUUGUCAAUCGUCACCCAUCAUUCGAAUCGAGAGACUCUAUUCCGUCACUAGUUACAGUUCUCUAGUAUGAUAGUUGUUGUUAAGCUGUUAUCUAUUUAAUAAGAAGUACGAAUCGAACCCUCGCCUCGACUCAACUCUUUCUUUAUAAAAACCCCUCCACUGAGGAGAGCAGAAGCUCCAGGACCCCGCCUCGCUUCUUAAAUAAAGAAGAAAAGAAAGACCAAUAGUACCGCCUCCUUCUCUAGAAUAAGAAUAGAAAUCUUUCUUCCAUGAUUCCAUCUAACCGGAGAAGAUCUAGAACUGAACUGACUAUUGGCAGUUCAAUCACUUGAAUAUAACAGAAAUCAGUGGCGUCAAUUCAUUGAAUCAAGGUUUGGGUAUUCUUCGGCGACGGGUACUCUUUUUCGAUUCUCUUUCUGUCUAUUUUUGAGUCUCAUGUGGUACCAACCUACGGGUAAAAAAAUGGGACAUAAGAAGGAUUCGGUGAUAA